Molecule: ribosomal RNA, 206 nt
Filed under: uncultured bacterium
Lineage: Bacteria
Description: partial 16S ribosomal RNA
Rfam family: Bacterial small subunit ribosomal RNA
Source: RNAcentral
UGCGUAGGUGGUUUUAUAAGUCAGCGGUGAAAGUUUGCAGCUUAACUGUAAAAAUGCCGUUGAAACUGUAAGACUUGAGUGUAAAUGAGGUAGGCGGAAUGCGUGGUGUAGCGGUGAAAUGCAUAGAUAUCACGCAGAACUCCGAUUGCGAAGGCAGCUUACUAAGCUACAACUGACACUGAAGCACGAAAGCUGGGGAUCAAACG